CCUAGGUUAAGAGAGGAAGAGAGGUUUGAAGCGUGAAAGCGAGAGAAAGGAGAGCAUCCAAUCCUCAAUCCGACACGAGCAAAUUCGGUGGUGAGUGAGAGCUGAGUAUGGAAGAAGGAGUUUAAGCGAUUAAAGGUUAUCCCGCGAAGGCGAUAGGGGGAGGGGCACUUCGCGGAAGGUUUCGAGGCAAACCUUUAGGGGAUUUUGGGCUUUUGAGCGGAGGAAACAAGUUUUGGGAGCCAGAGAGUGAAUGCAGGAGCGGGGGAGCGAGAUACAUGAAGUUUGAGUAGAGGGUUGUCGUAACGGGUGAAAUUGAAUCAGUACAGGGAGUUAACUCGGUGUGUGUUUUUUUUAGAUGCUUGCGAUAAUUUUGGAAACCGAGACACUAAUCUUGACGAUGUGGCUCUGCUAAUUUCUGGUGUUCGGAUGGACUGGAUCAGUGGUUUCUGUUGCGUUUUGAUCGUCUGUUCGCCUUCAAUCUCGACUGUCUGGCAAUCUCUGAACUAUGACCGAGAGAGGGAUACCUGCAAAGGCACUCCGACGCUCAAGUUAGGCGUGUUAUAAGGGAAGAACCUCAGUUCCUUUUGAAGGAUUCUCAGUGGAAGAGAAUAAAGUCUCAAUGAUAUGAAUAAUGUGUAUGAGAGGUGUGAACGAAGCGUACCUGGCUGACGACUCUGGCUCUUAUUUUAUAGACUCGGUAUUGAUAUGAGAUCAAUGAAAUAUCAACAGAAUAAAAUAUAAACAACCUUACCUGA
Vigna radiata var. radiata (mung bean) is the source of this 755-nucleotide long non-coding RNA. RefSeq lists it as uncharacterized. The transcript is spliced from 2 exons. NCBI's taxonomy places the organism in Eukaryota, Viridiplantae, Streptophyta, Magnoliopsida, Fabales, Fabaceae. The record is from RefSeq and is a predicted model, not a curated record.